UAUCAUCAUGCACGCCAACGGUCACGGA
Molecule: small RNA, 28 nt
Filed under: Bombyx mori (domestic silkworm)
Lineage: Eukaryota; Metazoa; Arthropoda; Insecta; Lepidoptera; Bombycidae
Description: ovarian small RNA-23540
Source: RNAcentral